Molecule: transfer RNA, 89 nt
Filed under: Nitrospinae bacterium CG22_combo_CG10-13_8_21_14_all_47_10
Lineage: Bacteria; Pseudomonadati; Nitrospinota
Description: tRNA-Ser
Rfam family: tRNA
About the family: Transfer RNA (tRNA) molecules are approximately 80 nucleotides in length. Their secondary structure includes four short double-helical elements and three loops (D, anti-codon, and T loops).
Source: RNAcentral
GGAGAGGUGGCCGAGAGGUCGAAGGCGGUUGACUCGAAAUCAACUGUACCCUUUGGGUACCGGGGGUUCGAAUCCCCCCCUCUCCGCCA